RNAcentral lists this transfer RNA (75 nucleotides) under Methylomirabilis oxygeniifera (SeqCode). Its description in RNAcentral is "Candidatus Methylomirabilis oxygeniifera tRNA-His (GTG) (tRNA-His-GTG-1-1)". It matches the Rfam family "tRNA". From Rfam's summary of the family: Transfer RNA (tRNA) molecules are approximately 80 nucleotides in length. The record is from RNAcentral. Lineage: Bacteria; Methylomirabilota (SeqCode); Methylomirabilia (SeqCode); Methylomirabilales (SeqCode); Methylomirabilaceae (SeqCode). RNAcentral also lists the same sequence under 6 other names.
GUGAGCGUAGCUCAAUGGCAGAGCACUGGACUGUGGCUCCAGGGGUUGAGGGUUCGAGUCCCUUCGUUCACCCCA